Molecule: ribosomal RNA, 492 nt
Filed under: uncultured bacterium
Lineage: Bacteria
Description: partial 16S ribosomal RNA
Rfam family: Bacterial small subunit ribosomal RNA
Source: RNAcentral
GAUGAACGCUAGCUACAGGCUUAACACAUGCAAGUCGAGGGGAAACGACAUCGAAAGCUUGCUUUUGAUGGGCGUCGACCGGCGCACGGGUGAGUAACGCGUAUCCAACCUGCCCAUCACUUGGGAAUAACCUUGCGAAAGUAAGACUAAUACCCAAUGAUAUCCCACGAAGGCAUCGGAAUGGGAUUCAAGAUUUAUCGGUGAUGGAUGGGGAUGCGUCUGAUUAGCUUGUUGGCGGGGUAACGGCCCACCAAGGCAACGAUCAGUAGGGGUUCUGAGAGGAAGGUCCCCCACAUGGGAGCUGAGACACGGUCCAAACUCCUACGGGAGGCAGCAGUGAGGAAUAUUAGGCAAUGGGCGAGAGCCUGAACCAGCCAAGUAGAGUGCAGGAAGACGGCCCUAUGGGUUGUAAACUGCUUUUAGAAGGGAAUAAAGUGGGUCACGUGUGACUUUUUGCAUGUACCUUAUGAAUAAGGACCGGCUAAUUCCGUG